Molecule: ribosomal RNA, 301 nt
Filed under: uncultured bacterium
Lineage: Bacteria
Description: partial 16S ribosomal RNA
Rfam family: Bacterial small subunit ribosomal RNA
Source: RNAcentral
CAGUCGCCGCGGGAAUACGAAGGGUGCAAGCGUUACUCGGAAUUACUGGGCGUAAAGCGUGCGUAGGUGGUGGUUUAAGUCCGUUGUGAAAGCCCUGGGCUCAACCUGGGAAUUGCAGUGGAUACUGGGUCACUAGAGUGUGGUAGAGGAUAGUGGAAUUUCCGGUGUAGCAGUGAAAUGCGUAGAGAUCGGAAGGAACAUCUGUGGCGAAGGCGACUAUCUGGGCCAACACUGACACUGAGGCACGAAAGCGUGGGGAGCAAACAGGAUUAGAGACCCGGGUAGUCCUGUCUCUUAUACA